Molecule: ribosomal RNA, 453 nt
Filed under: Phomopsis sp. MX228
Lineage: Eukaryota; Fungi; Ascomycota; Sordariomycetes; Diaporthales; Diaporthaceae
Description: eukaryotic LSU rRNA
Rfam family: 5.8S ribosomal RNA (bases 110-263)
Source: RNAcentral
GCUGCUGGUCUCUAGUAGGCCCCUCACUUCGGUGAGGAAAAGGCACGCCGGCGGCCAAAUCAACUCUGUUUUUACACUGAAACUCUGAGAAAAAACACAAAUGAAUCAAAACUUUCAACAACGGAUCUCUUGGUUCUGGCAUCGAUGAAGAACGCAGCGAAAUGCGAUAAGUAAUGUGAAUUGCAGAAUUCAGUGAAUCAUCGAAUCUUUGAACGCACAUUGCGCCCUCUGGUAUUCCGGAGGGCAUGCCUGUUCGAGCGUCAUUUCAACCCUCAAGCAUUGCUUGGUGUUGGGGCACUGCUUCUAACGAAGCAGGCCCUGAAAUCUAGUGGCGAGCUCGCCAGGACCCCGAGCGCAGUAGUUAAACCCUCGCUCUGGAAGGCCCUGGCGGUGCCCUGCCGUUAAACCCCCAACUUCUGAAAAUUUGACCUCGGAUCAGGUAGGAAUACCCGC